Long non-coding RNA from Chinchilla lanigera (long-tailed chinchilla), 434 nucleotides. RefSeq lists it as uncharacterized. Lineage: Eukaryota; Metazoa; Chordata; Mammalia; Rodentia; Chinchillidae. The record is from RefSeq and is a predicted model, not a curated record. The transcript is spliced from 2 exons.
UCUCUCAGCCUUUCUGGAUGGAAAGAAAAUAGUAUGUUGAGAACAAAUGUGGGUUUUGCAUAAGUAUUUGUGAAUUUUAAUUUUCAAAGUUACCUGCUGAAAUAGGUCUCCCUGUUUUCCAGAUAAGGCACAAUACCUGCCUUAAAUUACCUAAGCAGCAAGGGAAGGAGCCAGGAUCCGAAUCAGUUUCACUUCUAAACUCCAGCUCUUUCUGCUCAGAGAAGGUUCAGAUACUAAUUGGACCCCUGAGAUGACCCUCAAAGGAUUGCUCUGAUUUCGCCUGGCAGAGUGGCCUUACUAACACAGAACUUUUGGUAGUAUGUAAAGUCAAGUCUUCCAGUUACGAUGUAAGAGUAAGUUUGCCAUCUUAAAACUGUGCAGCCCUGGAGCGGGCAUGUUCAAUACCCCUCCCCAAUAUAACAACAGAAGUAUGA